This 658-nucleotide ribosomal RNA is filed under the name uncultured soil bacterium. RNAcentral's name for it is "bacterial SSU rRNA". It matches the Rfam family "Bacterial small subunit ribosomal RNA", at positions 32 to 722 of the family's 1533-position model. The record is from RNAcentral.
AACGCUGGCGGCGCGCUUAACACAUGCAAGUCGAACGAGAAAGGGGAGCAAUCCCUGAGUAAAGUGGCGUACUGGUGAGUAACACGUGGAUAUCUACCUCUUGGUGGGGAAUAACCUGGGGAAACCUGGGCUAAUACCGCAUAAGUUCGUGAGAAGAAAGGCGUAAGUCGCCGAGAGAGGAGUCCGCGGUCGAUUAGGUAGUUGGCGGGGUAAGAGCCCACCAAGCCAAAGAUCGAUAGCCGGCCUGAGAGGGCACACGGCCACACUGGCACUGAAACACGGGCCAGACUCCUACGGGAGGCAGCAGUGGGGAAUCUUGCACAAUGGGGGAAACCCUGAUGCAGCGACGCCGCGUGAGCGAUGAAGCCCUUCGGGGUGUAAAGCUCUUUCGGCAGGAACGAUAAUGACGGUACCUGCAGAAGAAGCUGCGGCUAACUACGUGCCAGCAGCCGCGGUAAUACGUAGGCAGCAAGCGUUGUUCGGAAUUACUGGGCGUAAAGAGUGUGUAGGUGGUGUCGUAAGUUUGGUGUGAAAUCUCCCGGCUUAACUGGGAGGGUGCGCCGAAGACUGCGAUGCUGGAGUAUGGGAGAGGAAAGCGGAAUUCCUGCGUGUAGCGGUGAAAUGCGUAGAUAUCAGGAGGAACACCUGCGGUGUAGAC